UACGGGGGGGGCAAGCGUUGUUCGGAAUUACUGGGCGUAAAGGGCCCGUAGGCGGCCAACUAAGUCCGACGUGAAAUCCCCAGGCUUAACCUGGGAACUGCGUCGGAUACUGGAUGGCUUGAAUUCGGGAGAGGGAUGCAGAAUUCCAGGUGUAGCGGUGAAAUGCGUAGAUAUCUGGAGGAAUACCGGUGGCGAAGGCGGCAUCCUGGACCGACAUUGACGCUGAGGCACGAAAGCCAGGGGAGCAAACGGG
Molecule: ribosomal RNA, 253 nt
Filed under: uncultured bacterium
Lineage: Bacteria
Description: partial 16S ribosomal RNA
Rfam family: Bacterial small subunit ribosomal RNA
Source: RNAcentral